AUACGAAAGGUGCAAGCGUUGUUCGGAUUUACUGGGCGUAAAGAGAGUGUAGGUUGUUUAUUAAGUCGGAUGUGAAAUCCCGGGGCUCAACCUCGGAACUGCAUUCGAUACUGGUAGACUCGAGUUCGGGAGGGGUAAGCGGAAUUCCGUGUGUAGCAGUGAAAUGCGUAGAUAUACGGAGGAACACCUGAGGCGAAGGCGGCUUACUGGACCGAUACUGACACUGAGACUCGAAAGCGUGGGUAGCAAACAGGAUUAGAUACCCCAGUAGUCC
RNAcentral lists this ribosomal RNA (274 nucleotides) under uncultured bacterium. RNAcentral describes it as "partial 16S ribosomal RNA". It matches the Rfam family "Bacterial small subunit ribosomal RNA", at positions 523 to 796 of the family's 1533-position model. The record is from RNAcentral.